AUUUACUUAGCUCUUCUAGAAGAUGAGUAAUUGCAAAAUUAUCUAUAACAAGUUCCAAGACUUAUUUCUCUUAUUACCUAGCAAUUUCCACCUUGUGGCUCAUUUGGGAAAAUAUGAAUAUCCUAUACACAUAUGUAUGGUAAUGAAAGUUUCAAUGAGGGGAUUUUUUUCUGUGAUGUGGCCUCAAAUGAGGGCGUGUCCAGAAGAAAUUAGCAUUUGAGUCAGUAGUAGGCUGAGUAAAGAAGUUCACCAUCACCAAUGUAGGUGGGUGUUAUCUAAUCCAGGGGUCCUCAACUGGCCUCGUACUGGUACCUGUCUGUGACCUGUUAGGAACCAGGCCACACAGCAGGAGGUGAGCGAGCAUUACCUUCUGAGCUCCGCCUCCUGUCAGAUCAGCUGCAGCAUUACAUUCUCAUAGGAGCACCAACCCUAUUCUGAACUGAACAUGUAAAGUCUAG
This 458-nucleotide long non-coding RNA is filed under the name Pan troglodytes (chimpanzee). Its description in RNAcentral is "long non-coding RNA NONPTRT000587". The record is from RNAcentral. Lineage: Eukaryota; Metazoa; Chordata; Mammalia; Primates; Hominidae.